This is a long non-coding RNA of Myxocyprinus asiaticus (Chinese sucker), 1423 nucleotides long. RefSeq lists it as uncharacterized. NCBI's taxonomy places the organism in Eukaryota, Metazoa, Chordata, Actinopteri, Cypriniformes, Catostomidae. The transcript has 2 exons. The record is from RefSeq and is a predicted model, not a curated record.
GGGAGAAAAGGAGUUACACAACAAUCUUGCAAGUCACUUGAGUGUGGUAACAAACCUUGCGACUUUCAGAGAACAGGCCAAAAAUAUUGUAACCAUUCCUAAAGCAAUACUAAAGCCCUUCCUAAAGUAAUAAAUGGGAAGAAAUGCAUUUUUUGGGGUUUGGAACAAUAUAAGGGAGAUAAUGUUCAUUUUGGUGCAAACUAUUCCUUUAAAGAAGGACCACCAGGUUGCCAAGCCAGAGAGGGGGAUGUGAGACAGAGAGAAGAAAGAGCAAAGGAGGAGUCUGGGUAAGCACUACGGCUGCCAACUUGUCUGUUGAGUUGAGAAGAAGCAUCUGGAAGCAUUUAUGUCUGAGAAAGAACUGCUACGGUCCCAACGGUUACAUCACUCAGAGGAACACUUCCCUGCCCCCAACACACACAUACACAAUCGUAUGCACACACAUACAGACACACACAACACCCCCCAGCAACCCAGUACGAUUUCCUGCAAAUUCCAAAGUCGGAUACCGGCUGGAACAUUUCAGUCCGUAUGCCACGUCACUUUGCCUCCCCUUUCGUCUCGCUCUCUCUAUCUUCAUCUCUCUUUUCACCAUUUAACGCUUUCUUUUUACUUCAGGAACCAUCGCUGAAGGACCAUUCCUUGCUGUUUUUCAUAUAGCAACACUAAAGUGCGAAAACUACGAUUGUACGUGGUACAGAAUGUGAGAAAGAAGUCAUGGCGGCAAAAUAGUCAGUAUUUGUAAUGAAGAAAACUGCAGAGGCCUGGAAUAUGUGUUGCCAUACAGCAGUGGACAUUGGAGUACUGUCACAGUGCAGUGACCUGCGGUCCAGCCAUCCUUCUCCUCCCCCUCGCCUGCCCAGUGUUCAGACUACCUGUUCAUCACGCUGAAGCUGAACAGUAGUCCGCACAUUGGUUAGGCUGGGCAGGGACACACACCCGCGCUGCGAGCAACAGGACUCUACCAUUCACUGCUAGAUUCAGGGGGAAUCGCAUAAACAAUCUCUCUCAGAGGGAUCAAGAAAGAGAGAAACGUGUGUGCUAAUUUUAAACAAACACAUGGGGCUCGAAUCCUACUUCAGUGGCACCAGAGACUACAGUAUAAUGGGGGAGGAGACGGACAACUCAUAGAAAAAUGAAUGAGAGAUAUUGCAAUGCUCAAUAUGCUGGAUGAAAGAACAGAAGUCCUGCCUUUAAGUUAAAAGAGCAAAUCAUCUUUUUAAUAAAGUCAUUUAAAAUAAAUAAAUAAUAAAGUUAGUUGUUUACUUUAGACGUGAAAGCUUGUUUACUCUAGAACAUGCAUUUGGAUUAACUGGAUAGGUCUAAAAAAAAAUAAUAAUAAUUUUUAAUGAUCUGAUGUAAAAGAAGAAAAAUGUAUGAUACUGAUUUAAAAUAUGCUACUGAAACAUAAUUUUGACAAAGA